CAAGAUGUAGCUUAAUAAAGCGAUUCGCUUACACCGAAUAGAUGCCCGCUAAAACCGGGCCAUUUUGU
RNAcentral lists this transfer RNA (68 nucleotides) under Bombina pachypus (Appenine yellow-bellied toad). Its description in RNAcentral is "tRNA-Val". It matches the Rfam family "tRNA". Rfam says of the family: Transfer RNA (tRNA) molecules are approximately 80 nucleotides in length. Their secondary structure includes four short double-helical elements and three loops (D, anti-codon, and T loops). Further hydrogen bonds mediate the characteristic L-shaped molecular structure. tRNAs have two regions of fundamental functional importance: the anti-codon, which is responsible for specific mRNA codon recognition, and the 3' end, to which the tRNAs corresponding amino acid is attached (by aminoacyl-tRNA synthetases). tRNAs cope with the degeneracy of the genetic code in two manners: having more than one tRNA (with a specific anti-codon) for a particular amino acid; and 'wobble' base-pairing, i.e. permitting non-standard base-pairing at the 3rd anti-codon position. The record is from RNAcentral. Lineage: Eukaryota; Metazoa; Chordata; Amphibia; Anura; Bombinatoridae.